CCUACGGGAGGCAGCAGUGGGGAAUAUUGGACAAUGGGCGAAAGCCUGAUCCAGCCAUGCCGCGUGUGUGAAGAAGGCCUUCGGGUUGUAAAGCACUUUCAGUGGGGAAGAAAGCCUUGGGGCUAAUACCCUCGAGGAAGGACAUCACCCACAGAAGAAGCACCGGCUAACUCCGUGCCAGCAGCCGCGGUAAUACGGAGGGUGCGAGCGUUAAUCGGAAUUACUGGGCGUAAAGCGCGCGUAGGCGGUCUGAUAAGCCGGUUGUGAAAGCCCCGGGCUCAACCUGGGAACGGCAUCCGGAACUGUCAGGCUAGAGUGCAGGAGAGGAAGGUAGAAUUCCCGGUGUAGCGGUGAAAUGCGUAGAGAUCGGGAGGAAUACCAGUGGCAAAGGCGGCCUUCUGGACUGACACUGACGCUGAGGUGCGAAAGCGUGGGUAGCAAACAGGAUUAGAUACCCGAGUAGUC
RNAcentral lists this ribosomal RNA (465 nucleotides) under Vreelandella stevensii. RNAcentral describes it as "partial 16S ribosomal RNA". It matches the Rfam family "Bacterial small subunit ribosomal RNA", at positions 338 to 795 of the family's 1533-position model. Lineage: Bacteria; Pseudomonadati; Pseudomonadota; Gammaproteobacteria; Oceanospirillales; Halomonadaceae. The record is from RNAcentral.